GUGGGGAAUCUUGCGCAAUGGGCGAAAGCCUGACGCAGCGACGCCGCGUGGGGGAUGAAGGCCCUCGGGUUGUAAACCCCUUUCGGCAGGGACGAAGCGAUUGUGACGGUACCUGCAGAAGAAGCCUCGGCUAACUACGUGCCAGCAGCCGCGGUAAGACGUAGGAGGCGAGCGUUGUCCGGAUUCAUUGGGCGUAAAGAGCACGCAGGCGGUUUGGCAAGUCGGACGUGAAAAUCCGGGGCUCAACCCCGGACCUGCAUCCGAAACUGCCCGACUAGAGGUAGGUAGGGGAGAUCGGAAUUCCUGGUGUAGCGGUGAAAUGCGCAGAUAUCAGGAGGAACACCGGUGGCGAAGGCGGAUCUCUGGGCCUUACCUGACGCUCAGGUGCGAAAGCUAGGGGAGCGAACAGGAUUAGAAACCCGGGUAGUCC
RNAcentral lists this ribosomal RNA (430 nucleotides) under uncultured bacterium. RNAcentral describes it as "bacterial SSU rRNA". It matches the Rfam family "Bacterial small subunit ribosomal RNA", at positions 354 to 796 of the family's 1533-position model. The record is from RNAcentral.